CAAAAUAUUUGCUCUUAAAACUACCGCAAUAAAUGACUUUUAACAAUAGUCUUGUCGCACUGAUGACUAUGUUUUCAAUUUUGCUAUUGUUUGAAAAUGACAUUUUUAUAGGAAAAAGUAAUUACGCGAAAUCAAUUAUUUUAGAUCAUUCAAAUUCAGUUCAGCCAUGUGUCAAAGUGUUAAUUAGGAAUAAUGAAUCAUCAUCAGGAAUUAAAAAAAUGACAAAUAACGUUCAUAAUAUGCUUGUAGAAACAGCAUGAGCUCUAUUACGCAUAUACCUUACUUGGUUGUAGACGCCUGUACACCCUGCACAAAUUUUGAAUCCAAACUUGAUGUCUCAUUUUAUAGGGACAGUCGCACUUCGUCAUACACAGGCACAUCAACAAGGGGAAUUCCCGAGGUUUACUUAGAC
Long non-coding RNA from Haliotis rubra (blacklip abalone), 412 nucleotides. RefSeq lists it as uncharacterized. Lineage: Eukaryota; Metazoa; Mollusca; Gastropoda; Lepetellida; Haliotidae. The record is from RefSeq and is a predicted model, not a curated record. The transcript has 3 exons.